CGGACAGAUGGGAGCUUGCUCCCUGAUGUUAGCGGCGGACGGGUGAGUAACACGUGGGUAACCUGCCUGUAAGACUGGGAUAACUCCGGGAAACCGGGGCUAAUACCGGAUGGUUGUUUGAACCGCAUGGUUCAGACAUAAAAGGUGGCUUCGGCUACCACUUACAGAUGGACCCGCGGCGCAUUAGCUAGUUGGUGAGGUAACGGCUCACCAAGGCGACGAUGCGUAGCCGACCUGAGAGGGUGAUCGGCCACACUGGGACUGAGACACGGCCCAGACUCCUACGGGAGGCAGCAGUAGGGAAUCUUCCGCAAUGGACGAAAGUCUGACGGAGCAACGCCGCGUGAGUGAUGAAGGUUUUCGGAUCGUAAAGCUCUGUUGUUAGGGAAGAACAAGUGCCGUUCAAAUAGGGCGGCACCUUGACGGUACCUAACCAGAAAGCCACGGCUAACUACGUGCCAGCAGCCGCGGUAAUACGUAGGUGGCAAGCGUUGUCCGGAAUUAUUGGGCGUAAAGGGCUCGCAGGCGGUUUCUUAAGUCUGAUGUGAAAGCCCCCGGCUCAACCGGGGAGGGUCAUUGGAAACUGGGGAACUUGAGUGCAGAAGAGGAGAGUGGAAUUCCACGUGUAGCGGUGAAAUGCGUAGAGAUGUGGAGGAACACCAGUGGCGAAGGCGACUCUCUGGUCUGUAACUGACGCUGAGGAGCGAAAGCGUGGGGAGCGAACAGGAUUAGAUACCCUGGUAGUCCACGCCGUAAACGAUGAGUGCUAAGUGUUAGGGGGUUUCCGCCCCUUAGUGCUGCAGCUAACGCAUUAAGCACUCCGCCUGGGGAGUACGGUCGCAAGACUGAAACUCAAAGGAAUUGACGGGGG
This 871-nucleotide ribosomal RNA is filed under the name Bacillus siamensis. Its description in RNAcentral is "bacterial SSU rRNA". It matches the Rfam family "Bacterial small subunit ribosomal RNA", at positions 67 to 919 of the family's 1533-position model. The record is from RNAcentral. Lineage: Bacteria; Bacillati; Bacillota; Bacilli; Caryophanales; Bacillaceae.